GUGCCAGCAGCCGCGGUAAUACGAGGGGGGCAAGCGUUGUUCGGAAUUAUUGGGCGUAAAGGGCGCGUAGGCGGUUUGGCAAGUUUCGUGUGAAAUCUUCGGGCUCAACUCGAAGUCUGCACGGAAAACUGCCGGGCUUGAGUAUGGGAGAGGUGAGUGGAAUUUCCGGUGUAGCGGUGAAAUGCGUAGAUAUCGGAAGGAACACCUGUGGCGAAAGCGGCUCACUGGACCAUUACUGACGCUGAGGCGCGAAAGCUAGGGGAGCAAACAGGAUUAGAAACCCUCGUAGUCC
Molecule: ribosomal RNA, 292 nt
Filed under: uncultured bacterium
Lineage: Bacteria
Description: partial 16S ribosomal RNA
Rfam family: Bacterial small subunit ribosomal RNA
Source: RNAcentral